This 309-nucleotide ribosomal RNA is filed under the name uncultured eukaryote. RNAcentral's name for it is "partial 18S ribosomal RNA". It matches the Rfam family "Eukaryotic small subunit ribosomal RNA", at positions 1470 to 1796 of the family's 1831-position model. The record is from RNAcentral.
CCCUUAGAUGUUCUGGGCGGCCCGCGCACUACAUUGGCACUCUCAAUAAGUUCCUAGAUCUAAAACUUUGGGGUAUUCUAUUAAGUGGUGUCGUGACUGGGAUUAACCCUUGCAAUUAUUGGUUACGAACGAGGAAUUCCUUGUAAUCGCGGUUUAUCAGCCCGCGUUGAAUGUGUCCCUGCCCUUUGUACACACCGCCCGUCGCUCCUACCGAUGAAUCGUCCGGUGAAGUUCAUGGAGUGGUGGUUGUUCCAGCUGCUGUCGAAGUGAAAUGGACCUCACGAUUUAGAGGAAGGAGAAGUCGUAACA